GAUGAACGCUGACAGAAUGCUUAACACAUGCAAGUCGAUGGGGAAGUGGUGCUUGCACCAUGGUAACCAUGGCGGACGGGUGAGUAACGCGUAAGGAACUUGCCUGCGGGACUGGGAUAACAGCAGGAAACUGCUGAUAAUACCGGAUAAGGUCAUUAAGCUGCAUAGCUUAGUGAUGAAAGGAGACGCCUGCGGAGAGCCUUGCGUCCUAUUAGCUAGUUGGAGGGGUAACGGCCCACCAAGGCGAAGAUAGGUAGCCGGCCUGAGAGGGUGGACGGCCACAAGGGGACUGAGAUACGGCCCUUACUCCUACGGGAGGCAGCAGUGGGGAAUAUUGGACAAUGGGGGCAACCCUGAUCCAGCAAUUCUGUGUGCACGAAGACGGUUUUCGGAUUGUAAAGUGCUUUCAGCAGGGAAGAAGGAAGUGACGGUACCUGCAGAAGAAGCGACGGCUAAAUACGUGCCAGCAGCCGCGGUAAUACGUAUGUCGCGAGCGUUAUCCGGAAUUAUUGGGCAUAAAGGGCAUCUAGGCGGCCUUCCAAGUCAGGGGUGAAAACCUGCGGCUCAACCGCAGGCCUGCCUUUGAAACUGAUAGGCUGGAGUACCGGAGAGGUGGACGGAACUGCACGAGUAGAGGUGAAAUUCGUAGAUAUGUGCAGGAAUGCCGAUGAUGAAGAUAGUUCACUGGACGGUAACUGACGCUGAAGUGCGAAAGCCGGGGGAGCGAACAGG
Molecule: ribosomal RNA, 732 nt
Filed under: uncultured Leptotrichia sp.
Lineage: Bacteria; Fusobacteriati; Fusobacteriota; Fusobacteriia; Fusobacteriales; Leptotrichiaceae
Description: bacterial SSU rRNA
Rfam family: Bacterial small subunit ribosomal RNA
Source: RNAcentral